This 496-nucleotide ribosomal RNA is filed under the name uncultured bacterium. RNAcentral describes it as "bacterial SSU rRNA". It matches the Rfam family "Bacterial small subunit ribosomal RNA", at positions 1 to 495 of the family's 1533-position model. The record is from RNAcentral.
GAUUAGAGUUUGAUCCUGGCUCAGAUUGAACGCUGGCGGCAUGCCUUACACAUGCAAGUCGAACGGUAACAGGGAGCUUGCUCCGCUGACGAGUGGCGAACGGGUGAGUAAUGUAUCGGAACGUACCUUUCAGUGGGGGAUAACGUAGCGAAAGUUACGCUAAUACCGCAUAUUCUGUGAGCAGGAAAGCAGGGGAUCGCAAGACCUUGCGCUGAUUGAGCGGCCGAUAUCAGAUUAGCUAGUUGGUGAGGUGAAGGCUCACCAAGGCGACGAUCUGUAGCGGGUCUGAGAGGAUGAUCCGCCACACUGGAACUGAGACACGGUCCAGACUCCUACAGGAGGCAGCAGUGGGGAAUUUUGGACAAUGGGGGCAACCCUGAUCCAGCCAUGCCGCGUGAGUGAAGAAGGCCUUCGGGUUGUAAAGCUCUUUCGGCCGGGAAGAAAUCGCAUGGGUUAAUACCCUGUGCGGAUGACGGUACCGGCAUAAGAAGCACCG